RNAcentral lists this long non-coding RNA (604 nucleotides) under Rattus norvegicus (Norway rat). RNAcentral's name for it is "long non-coding RNA NONRATT019891". The record is from RNAcentral. Lineage: Eukaryota; Metazoa; Chordata; Mammalia; Rodentia; Muridae.
CAGACGUUCUACCACCAAGUGGGAACUCUGCAAACAUUGCUGAUGUAAACACACUGGAUGACAGUGACCCUCAGAUUAGUAAGAAAUGACUGUCUAAUAUUUCACUAAGCCAGCAAGGAUACCCACUCUAAAUAACAGAGUCAGAUGUUGGCUUUCCAGUGUCUCUAAACCUAACCUUUCCCUGAAAACCUCCAUUUCUCUGAGAGCUGUGCAUUUCUAUGUGCUUUGCACUUGACCAAGAUUCAAUGGAGAGAAUCCAGUCAUUUGGCAAAUGCUGAUCAGACUCCUGUUCUGGGCCAAGUGCUGGACCAGGCACUGGCCAAAGAUGGUGCCAAUUAGAAACCCAAGUAUGGUGUGUGCUGCUGGGGAGGGCCAGGGAUCCAGAGGGAGCUCAAGCCACCCUAGCAACUCUGAUCCUUCCCCAUGCACACCAAGUGGGGAUGGGGUUUCUCAGUCUCCUCCCAACCCUGGGAGAGGAAGAGGUAAGCCAGGCCUUUCCCGGCUCUCUGCUCAGGAUACAUAGCCUCACUGCCCUGACCUCUGUUUUUUCCCCAUGGUAGCCGUUUGUGUUUAACUAACACAAACUGGGUAGUAGCGGUAUAGC